RNAcentral lists this ribosomal RNA (551 nucleotides) under uncultured bacterium. RNAcentral's name for it is "partial 16S ribosomal RNA". It matches the Rfam family "Bacterial small subunit ribosomal RNA", at positions 355 to 895 of the family's 1533-position model. The record is from RNAcentral.
UGGGGAAUAUUGCACAAUGGGCGCAAGCCUGAUGCAGCCAUGCCGCGUGUGUGAAGAAGGCCUUCGGGUUGUAAAGCACUUUCAGCGAGGAGGAAGGUGGUGAACUUAAUACGUUCAUCAAUUGACGUUACUCGCAGAAGAAGCACCGGCUAACUCCGUGCCAGCAGCCGCGGUAAUACGGAGGGUGCAAGCGUUAAUCGGAAUUACUGGGUGUAAAGCGCACGCAGGCGGUUUGUUAAGUCAGAUGUGAAAUCCCCGGGCUCAACCUGGGAACUGCAUUUGAAACUGGCAAGCUAGAGUCUCGUAGAGGGGGGUAGAAUUCCAGGUGUAGCGGUGAAAUGCGUAGAGAUCUGGAGGAAUACCGGUGGCGAAGGCGGCCCCCCUGGACGAAGACUGACGCUCAGGUGCGAAAAGCGUGGGGAGCAAACAGGAUUAGAUACCCCUGGUAGUCCACGCUGUAAACGAUGUCGAUUUGGAGGUUGUGCCCUUGAGGCGUGGCUUCCGGAGCUAACGCGUUAAAUCGACCGCCUGGGGAGUACGGCCGCAAGGUU